GUGGGGAAUUUUGGACAAUGGGCGCAAGCCUGAUCCAGCCAUUCCGCGUGCAGGAUGAAGGCCUUCGGGUUGUAAACUGCUUUUGUACGGAACGAAAAGGUUCUCUCUAAUACAGGGGGCUGAUGACGGUACCGUAAGAAUAAGCACCGGCUAACUACGUGCCAGCAGCCGCGGUAAUACGUAGGGUGCAAGCGUUAAUCGGAAUUACUGGGCGUAAAGCGUGCGCAGGCGGUGAUGUAAGACAGGUGUGAAAUCACCGGGAGCAACCUGGGAACUGCAUUUGUGACUGCAAUGCUGGAGUGCGGAAGAGGGGGAUGGAAUUCCGCGUGUAGCAGUGAAAUGCGUAGAUAUGCGGAGGAACACCGAUGGCGAAGGCAAUCCCCUGGGCCUGCACUGACGCUCAUGCACGAAAGCGUGGGGAGCAAACAGGAUUAGAAACCCUGGUAGUCC
RNAcentral lists this ribosomal RNA (450 nucleotides) under uncultured bacterium. RNAcentral's name for it is "partial 16S ribosomal RNA". It matches the Rfam family "Bacterial small subunit ribosomal RNA", at positions 354 to 796 of the family's 1533-position model. The record is from RNAcentral.